RNAcentral lists this long non-coding RNA (718 nucleotides) under Homo sapiens (human). Its description in RNAcentral is "HSALNT0235523". The record is from RNAcentral. Lineage: Eukaryota; Metazoa; Chordata; Mammalia; Primates; Hominidae.
AGGCUCGGCCCGGUGCGAACCGUUCCUGCCGCCGAGUCCGCCACGGACGGCGCGUUUCCCGCCUGAGGCGGUUACGGAAACGCGGAGACUCGAGACUUGAAGCCAGCUUAUUCUGGACCCACGCAGGCGACUGAAGACGAUGGGACCCACUGCCCUGCAUUCGAGAAACCUGAUGUAAAGCAAAAGUCCAGCAGGAAGAAAGUGGUCGUUCCACAGAUCAUCAUCACGCGAGCGUCGAAUGAGACGCUAGUCAGUUGCAGUUCCAGCGGGAGUGACCAGCAGAGAACCAUUCGGGAGCCGGAGGACUGGGGCCCCUACCGGCGGCACAGGAACCCCAGUACAGCAGACGCCUAUAAUUCACAUCUCAAAGAAUAAACAAGCACCUUUGCAUGGCACUCGCUACUCCCUGCGAUAGGCGUCUCGGGAACAGCCGCCUCACCCUGUGAGAAGCCGAGGCCCCUUCUCCAGUGCUCUCGGGGAGGUUGCACCAGGCCCACCCCACCCUAUGAGGGCUCCUGAUUGUGGAAGGCCACGGAAGGGACCUGAACACGAUGGCACGAGACAAGUUAUCUCCUGUGACUGCUCCUCUCCAGCAACCCUCAGCUCAGGCUAGACUUUCCCCCUGUGUUGAGAAUGCCCUGCCCUGUGUGGAAGCCUGAUGCAUUUAGUGACAGUGUGUUAGCUUUGUUAGUUUCUAGUCUGGCCAGCAGGCUUUCCA